UACGAAGGGGGCUAGCGUUGUUCGGAAUUACUGGGCGUAAAGGGAGCGUAGGCGGACAUUUAAGUCAGGGGUGAAAUCCCGGGGCUCAACCUCGGAAUUGCCUUUGAUACUGGGUGUCUUGAGUAUGAGAGAGGUAUGUGGAACUCCGAGUGUAGAGGUGAAAUUCGUAGAUAUUCGGAAGAACACCAGUGGCGAAGGCGACAUACUGGCUCAUUACUGACGCUGAGGCUCGAAAGCGUGGGGAGCAAACAGG
Molecule: ribosomal RNA, 253 nt
Filed under: uncultured bacterium
Lineage: Bacteria
Description: partial 16S ribosomal RNA
Rfam family: Bacterial small subunit ribosomal RNA
Source: RNAcentral